UACGUAGGUGGCAAGCGUUGUCCGGAAUUAUUGGGCGUAAAGCGCGCGCAGGCGGUUCCUUAAGUCUGAUGUGAAAGCCCACGGCUCAACCGUGGAGGGUCAUUGGAAACUGGGGAACUUGAGUGCAGGAGAGAAGAGUGGAAUUCCACGUGUAGCGGUGAAAUGCGUAGAUAUCGAGAGGAACACCGGUGGCGAAGGCGGCGCUCUGGACCGAGACUGACGCUGAGGCGCGAAAGCGUGGGGAGCAAACAGG
This 253-nucleotide ribosomal RNA is filed under the name uncultured bacterium. Its description in RNAcentral is "partial 16S ribosomal RNA". It matches the Rfam family "Bacterial small subunit ribosomal RNA", at positions 524 to 776 of the family's 1533-position model. The record is from RNAcentral.